CAGUCGCCGCGGGAAUACGUAGGGUGCGAGCGUUAAUCGGAAUUACUGGGCGUAAAGCGUGCGCAGGCGGUUUGUUAAGACAGAUGUGAAAUCCCCGGGCUUAACCUGGGAACUGCAUUUGUGACUGGCAAGCUAGAGUAUGGCAGAGGGGGGUGGAAUUCCGCGUGUAGCAGUGAAAUGCGUAGAUAUGCGGAGGAACACCGAUGGCGAAGGCAGCCCCCUGGGCCAAUACUGACGCUCAUGCACGAAAGCGUGGGGAGCAAACAGGAUUAGAUACCCGUGUAGUCCCUGUCUCUUAUAU
RNAcentral lists this ribosomal RNA (301 nucleotides) under uncultured bacterium. RNAcentral describes it as "partial 16S ribosomal RNA". It matches the Rfam family "Bacterial small subunit ribosomal RNA", at positions 509 to 809 of the family's 1533-position model. The record is from RNAcentral.